AUUAGAGUUUGAUCCUGGCUCAGAACGAACGCUGGCGGCGUGGAUAAGACAUGCAAGUCGAACGGAGGAAAUCGGUAGCAAUACUGGUCUCCUCAGUGGCGCACGGGUGCGUAACACGUGAGUUACAUGCCCUGCAGCGGGGAAUAGCCCGUCGAAAGGCGGAUUAAUACCCCAUGGUCCCGCAAGGGUAAAGGCGGCGCAAGCUGCCACUGCAGGAUUGGCUCGCGGCCUAUCAGCUUGUUGGCGGGGUAACGGCCCACCAAGGCAACGACGGGUAGCUGGUCUGAGAGGACGACCAGCCACACUGGAACUGAGACACGGUCCAGACACCUACGGGUGGCAGCAGUCGAGAAUCAUUCACAAUGGGGGAAACCCUGAUGGUGCAACGCCGCGUGGAGGAUGAAGGUCUUCGGAUUGUAAACUCCUGUCAUCCGGGAGUAAGACCUGACGGUGAACAGCCGGCAGGGUUGAUAGUACCGGAAGAGGAAGGGACGGCUAACUUCGUGCCAGCAGCCGCGGUAAUACGAAGGUCCCAAGCGUUGUUCGGAAUCACUGGGCGUAAAGGGUGCGUAGGCGGUCCUGUAAGUCGGGCGUGAAAUCCCGGGGCUCAACCCCGGAACUGCGUUCGAUACUGCCGGGCUGGAGGAUCGGAGAGGAGACUGGAAUUCUCGGUGUAGCAGUGAAAUGCGUAGAUAUCGAGAGGAACACUCGUGGCGAAGGCGAGUCUCUGGACGAUUCCUGACGCUGAGGCACGAAGGCCAGGGUAGCGAAAGGGAUUAGAUACCCCUGUAGUCCUGGCAGUAAACGGUGCACG
This 814-nucleotide ribosomal RNA is filed under the name uncultured Verrucomicrobium sp. Its description in RNAcentral is "bacterial SSU rRNA". It matches the Rfam family "Bacterial small subunit ribosomal RNA", at positions 1 to 815 of the family's 1533-position model. Lineage: Bacteria; Pseudomonadati; Verrucomicrobiota; Verrucomicrobiia; Verrucomicrobiales; Verrucomicrobiaceae. The record is from RNAcentral.